GAUGAACGCUGGCGGCGUGCCUAACACAUGCAAGUCGAACGGAGAUUACGGACGGAAGUUUUCGGAUGGAAGCCUGUAAUUCUUAGUGGCGGACGGGUGAGUAGCGCGUGGGCAACCUGCCCUAUACAGGGGGAUAGCAGCUGGAAACGGCUGGUAAGACCGCAUAAGUCGGUUAAAUCGCAUGAUUUGAUCGGGAAAUGAGCAAUCAGGUAUAGGAUGGGCCCGCGUCCGAUUAGCCAGUUGGCAGGGUAAAAGCCUACCAAAGCGACGAUCGGUAGCCGGACUGAGAGGUCGGACGGCCACAUUGGGACUGAGACACGGCCCAAACUCCUACGGGAGGCAGCAGUGGGGGAUAUUGCACAAUGGAGGAAACUCUGAUGCAGCGACGCCGCGUGAGUGAAGAAGUAUUUCGGUAUGUAAAGCUCUAUCAGCAGGGAAGAUGAUGACGGUACCUGACUAAGAAGCCCCGGCUAACUACGUG
RNAcentral lists this ribosomal RNA (481 nucleotides) under uncultured bacterium. RNAcentral's name for it is "partial 16S ribosomal RNA". It matches the Rfam family "Bacterial small subunit ribosomal RNA", at positions 28 to 507 of the family's 1533-position model. The record is from RNAcentral.